Molecule: ribosomal RNA, 447 nt
Filed under: uncultured bacterium
Lineage: Bacteria
Description: bacterial SSU rRNA
Rfam family: Bacterial small subunit ribosomal RNA
Source: RNAcentral
UGGGGAAUCUUGGACAAUGGGCGAAAGCCUGAUCCAGCCAUGCCGCGUGAGUGACGAAGGUCUUCGGAUUGUAAAGCUCUUUUGGCGGGGACGAUAAUGACGGUACCCGCAGAAUAAGCCCCGGCUAACUUCGUGCCAGCAGCCGCGGUAAUACGAAGGGGGCUAGCGUUGUUCGGAUUUACUGGGCGUAAAGGGCGCGUAGGCGGCAAUUCAAGUCAUCUGUGAAAUCUCCGGGCUUAACUCGGAACGGUCAGAUGAUACUGCUUUGCUAGAGUGCAGAAGGGGCAAUCGGAAUUCUUGGUGUAGCGGUGAAAUGCGUAGAUAUCAAGAGGAACACCUGAGGUGAAGACGGGUUGCUGGGCUGACACUGACGCUGAGGCGCGAAAGCCAGGGGAGCAAACGGGAUUAGAUACCCAAGUAGUCCCUGAGCGGGCUGGCAAGGCGCAU